UACGUAGGGUGCGAGCGUUAAUCGGAAUUACUGGGCGUAAAGCGUGCGCAGGCGGUUUUGUAAGCCAGAUGUGAAAGCCCCGGGCUCAACCUGGGAAUUGCAUUCGAGACUGCAUAGCUAGGAUGCGGAAGAGGGAAGCGGAAUUUCCGGUGUAGCGGUGAAAUGCGUAGAUAUCGGAAGGAACACCAGUGGCGAAAGCGGCUUCCUGGUCCAGCAUCGACGUUCAGGCACGAAAGCGUGGGGAGCAAACAGG
Molecule: ribosomal RNA, 253 nt
Filed under: uncultured bacterium
Lineage: Bacteria
Description: partial 16S ribosomal RNA
Rfam family: Bacterial small subunit ribosomal RNA
Source: RNAcentral